RNAcentral lists this non-coding RNA (90 nucleotides) under Sphingopyxis indica. RNAcentral describes it as "Glycine sequence". It matches the Rfam family "Glycine riboswitch aptamer". Rfam says of the family: This family represents the bacterial glycine riboswitch. The record is from Rfam by way of RNAcentral. Lineage: Bacteria; Pseudomonadati; Pseudomonadota; Alphaproteobacteria; Sphingomonadales; Sphingopyxidaceae.
CGGGGUCGAGCGGGAGAGUUCAGCGAUUCGUCUGACGCCGAAGGAGCAAUGUCCCGGAAUCUCUCAGGCAAAGGGGACCGUUCGACACAA